GGCUCCGGCCUGUGCUUUCGCCUCCAGACCAUGGAGCUUCUUCACCCACAUGCUGGGUGCCGUCCAGCCUGAGGCCUGUGUGCAGGGUCCCGGUUUCAAGCCCCGAUUCCCACCUGCUAACUGUGACCCAGGAAGCCCCACCCCCCGCAGCCCUCAGUUUCUUCACCUGCCAAACUCCCUGCCUUCGAGGUGAGAGAUUACGUAAGUAAGGAACCCUCUCAUGGGACAGCUGGACACAGCCAGGCGGGAAGGACUCUUCACCAGCCCCGUCUCCAUAGUCCCGGCUGCCAUCACUGCUGGCAUCGACACUGACCCUCCAGCUCCAGCACCAGACCCUGCGGAAGCCUGUGGUCCUG
This 356-nucleotide long non-coding RNA is filed under the name Homo sapiens (human). RNAcentral describes it as "non-protein coding lnc-BABAM2-1:1". The record is from RNAcentral. Lineage: Eukaryota; Metazoa; Chordata; Mammalia; Primates; Hominidae.